UCGUUCUCGCGAGAACGCCUGAAGGCACCUAGUUACUGUUGCCAUAGAGGGGCGCGAGGAAGGCACGUAGAGAUGCGGACCCUGCUGUAUCUGGAUGGAUACUCCCGCGGGCACGACACCCAUACUCAUUCUCUGGUAGAUGUCUAGCAGAUCUUUUUGGGAAUUUCAUCUCAGAGUGACAAGAAUGUCACCCUUGCGUCAUCUUAAGGAUGAGAAAACAUAGGUCCCCAAAGGAAAAAGGGUCCAUGUGCUUCUUUUCAAGGACUCCAAAAUUCUGAUGAAACCUGAAGAUCCCUUACCUACUGAACUAAUGCUGAUGGUAUCUUUGAAGAGAAGAAGGCACCUUAUAACAAGGAGGCAGCUGAGCACAGAAACACAGCAGUGCCAGCACCUAUUUGAACCUGGGAGGAAACUAAAGACUUCUUGUAAUGGUUCAUGUGGACAAGAGGGGAAUGGCUUCCACAGCAGAGGCAGAGCAGAAUCAAGGACUUAUUUCAUAACCUUAGAAUCCACGCACCUCAAGGAAGUGAUCAUAUGUUUAUGCCCAGAUUUAUCAUUAAUUGCUUAAAUAAUUUAAAGUUGCAAAAAAUUUAAAAGACUCUAAAUGGCUAACAUUUAGAAGAUUCAUUAAAUAAAGUAUACAACAUCCAU
This is a non-coding RNA of Ictidomys tridecemlineatus (thirteen-lined ground squirrel), 651 nucleotides long. The record is from RefSeq and is a predicted model, not a curated record. NCBI's taxonomy places the organism in Eukaryota, Metazoa, Chordata, Mammalia, Rodentia, Sciuridae.